GUUAAGUGACUAAGCGUACACGGUGGAUGCCUUGGCAGUCAGAGGCGAUGAAGGACGUAGUAACUUGCGAUAAGCGUAGAUGAGGCAGUAACAGCCACUUGAGUCUACGAUUUCCGAAUGGGGAAACCCACUGGCAUAAGCCAGUAUCAUUGAGUGAAUACAUAGCUCAAUGAAGCGAACCGGGAGAACUGAAACAUCUAAGUACCCCGAGGAAAAGAAAUCAACCGAGAUUCCGAAAGUAGCGGCGAGCGAAAUUGGAUUAGCCCUUAAGCUUUACAUGUGUUAGACGAACGGUCUGGAAAGUCCGACGAUACAGGGUGAUAGUCCCGUAGUUGUAGAUGCAUGUUCAGUGAAAUCGAGUAGGGCGGGACACGUGUUAUCCUGUCUGAAUAUGGGGGGACCAUCCUCCAAGGCUAAAUACUCCUGACUGACCGAUAGUGAACCAGUACCGUGAGGGAAAGGCGAAAAGAACCCCUGUGAGGGGAGUGAAAUAGAACCUGAAACCGUGUACGUACAAGCAGUAGGAGCACCUUCGUGGUGUGACUGCGUACCUUUUGUAUAAUGGGUCAGCGACUUAUAUUCAGUGGCAAGGUUAACCAUCUAGGGGAGCCGUAGGGAAACCGAGUCUUAACUGGGCGCCAUAGUCUCUGGAUAUAGACCCGAAACCGAGUGAUCUAGCCAUGGGCAGGUUGAAGGUUGAGUAACAUCAACUGGAGGACCGAACCGACUAAUGUUGAAAAAUUAGCGGAUGACUUGUGGCUAGGGGUGAAAGGCCAAUCAAACUCGGAGAUAGCUGGUUCUCCCCGAAAGCUAUUUAGGUAGCGCCUCGGACGAAUACUACUGGGGGUAGAGCACUGUUAAGGCUAGGGGGUCAUCCCGACUUACCAACCCUUUGCAAACUCCGAAUACCAGUAAGUACUAUCCGGGAGACACACGGCGGGUGCUAACGUCCGUCGUGGAGAGGGAAACAACCCAGACCGCCAGCUAAGGUCCCAAAUUACAGCUAAGUGGGAAACGAUGUGGGAAGGCUUAGACAGCUAGGAUGUUGGCUUAGAAGCAGCCAUCAUUUAAAGAAAGCGUAAUAGCUCACUAGUCGAGUCGGCCUGCGCGGAAGAUGUAACGGGGCUAAGUUGUAAACCGAAGCUGCGGCAAUAUCUUUUAGAUAUUGGGUAGGGGAGCGUUCUGUAAGCCGUUGAAGGUGUGUUGUAAAGCAUGCUGGAGGUAUCAGAAGUGCGAAUGCUGACAUGAGUAACGACAAGGGGGGUGAAAAACCUCCCCGCCGGAAGACCAAGGGUUCCUGUCCAACGUUAAUCGGGGCAGGGUA
Molecule: ribosomal RNA, 1324 nt
Filed under: Vibrio vulnificus
Lineage: Bacteria; Pseudomonadati; Pseudomonadota; Gammaproteobacteria; Vibrionales; Vibrionaceae
Description: partial 23S ribosomal RNA
Rfam family: Bacterial large subunit ribosomal RNA
Source: RNAcentral